This 452-nucleotide ribosomal RNA is filed under the name Alternaria sp. RNAcentral's name for it is "eukaryotic LSU rRNA". The stretch from base 114 to 267 matches the Rfam family "5.8S ribosomal RNA". Lineage: Eukaryota; Fungi; Ascomycota; Dothideomycetes; Pleosporales; Pleosporaceae. The record is from RNAcentral.
AUUCACCCUUGUCUUUUGCGUACUUCUUGUUUCCUUGGUGGGUUCGCCCACCACUAGGACAAACAUAAACCUUUUGUAAUUGCAAUCAGCGUCAGUAACAAAUUAAUAAUUACAACUUUCAACAACGGAUCUCUUGGUUCUGGCAUCGAUGAAGAACGCAGCGAAAUGCGAUAAGUAGUGUGAAUUGCAGAAUUCAGUGAAUCAUCGAAUCUUUGAACGCACAUUGCGCCCUUUGGUAUUCCAAAGGGCAUGCCUGUUCGAGCGUCAUUUGUACCCUCAAGCUUUGCUUGGUGUUGGGCGUCUUGUCUCUAGCUUUGCUGGAGACUCGCCUUAAAGUAAUUGGCAGCCGGCCUACUGGUUUCGGAGCGCAGCACAAGUCGCACUCUCUAUCAGCAAAGGUCUAGCAUCCAUUAAGCCUUUUUUUCAACUUUUGACCUCGGAUCAGGUAGGGA